RNAcentral lists this ribosomal RNA (621 nucleotides) under uncultured bacterium. RNAcentral's name for it is "bacterial SSU rRNA". It matches the Rfam family "Bacterial small subunit ribosomal RNA", at positions 8 to 623 of the family's 1533-position model. The record is from RNAcentral.
AGAGUUUGAUCCUGGCUCAGGAUGAACGCUAGCGGCAGGCUUAAUACAUGCAAGUCGAGGGGCAGCGGGGGUAGCAAUACCUGCCGGCGACCGGCAAACGGGUGCGGAACACGUACAGAACCUUCCUCUGAGUGUGGGAUAGCCCGGAGAAAUCCGGAUUAAUACCACAUAGUAUUUUGGAGUGGCAUCACUUUAAAAUUAAAGAUUUAUCGCUUAGAGAUGGCUGUGCGGCUGAUUAGGUAGUUGGUGUGGGUAACGGCCCACCAAGCCUUCGAUCAGUAACUGGUGUGAGAGCACGACCAGUCACACGGGCACUGAGACACGGGCCCGACUCCUACGGGAGGCAGCAGUAAGGAAUAUUGGUCAAUGGACGCAAGUCUGAACCAGCCAUGCCGCGUGAAGGAUGAAGGCCCUCUGGGUUGUAAACUUCUUUUAUAGGGGACGAAAUGCAGUUAUUCUUAAUUGUUUGACGGUACCCUAGGAAUAAGCACCGGCUGACUCCGUGCCAGCAGCCGCGGUAAUACGGAGGGUGCAAGCGUUAUCCGGAUUCACUGGGUUUAAAGGGUGCGUAGGUGGGCUUGUAAGUCAGUGGUGAAAUCUCCGUGCUUAACAUGGAAACUG